UGUGGUAUGUCACCACGCGUGUCUCCCGUAUGUCCUGUCUCAUUGUGACAGCCAAUCAGAUCAAAUGCAGUGUUUAUAUAUGUUCCUGGUUAUUGCGGUAUCUCUAAGUGUUGGCAGUGCACUAUUGAUCAACCCAGUCCUUGUUGACACACCGCCAGCAGCCCGCUCGAACACACUGACGACCCUGUGUGUUGGCAGUUCGGUUUCCAGAAAGAUAGUGCUGAAAACUAAACGCUUUCCCGGAACAGAAACUGGUGCAUAAUUCUCCGAACGCAUUCCUGGUACAAGUAUUGGUGUAUAUAUUCUCCGAACGUGCCUGAAAUUGUUCAUAUCCCCCGACCAAGGACCUGGCGCGUGUGGACGUAUUAGCAACUGUCCACGACUAUCAGCAGGUGUUCACGACUAUCAGCAGGUGUUCACGACUAUCAGCAGGUGUUCACGACUAUCAGCAGGUGUUCACGACUACGACGGUAAUAUAUCAAGAUGGCCUCCAGGACUAUGCAACCUAACUACUUUGUUGCCAUUCGUGUCACAGACGACGGAAUUAAACAAACGUUUGACAGAGUUCGGGAAAGAAUAAUUAAGGAAAAUGCCAACUAUUUGACAGUGUGUUCAUCCAGGGAUGAUCUCCACGUGAGUCUGUGCCAUCUCUCAAUUCAGACACAGACUCAGCUCCAUACAGCGGUGGAAGCUCUCAACAGCGCCGCGGAGAACAUCCGAUCCAUGCAAAACAAGACAACGUUAAAAGUGAAAGGAAUCGGCACGUUUAACGACGUUGUCGUAUACGGUAACGUUGAGUACGAACGUGAGCUAUCAGUUCUCCGGUCUGUGAUCGUUUCGUUUCUGGACGCUCAGGGGAUUUGUUGGUUACACAGGGGAUUUCACUCCUCACAUGACAAUUGCAAAAGUGACGAAAUCUUUCACCCACAAGACCGGUAUAACGUAUUUCCCCAGCAAGGUGUACAACACCGACAACGACGUCGUUUUUGGUGAGGAGGAUGUUGAUGCAGUCAGACUGUGUCGGAUGGGGUCCGAAAGGGACCACGAUGGCUUCUACGUCACUGACGCCACCGUUGUCGUGUAGACCACUGAGUGAGAAAGUUAUUUUCUCUUUGUAGUGAAUUGAAUUUGAUACUUUAACUGAUCAUGAUGGACUGUGCUAGCAAUUUAAGGCUUUAUUACCUGCUGAACCUGCUGAAUAGGGUUUAUGUGUUUUAAUCUUUGCCUAUACUUUACUGUUAGUUUAUACACUGUGAUAAGAAUGUUUCCCCGCAGUAACUUCUCUCAUCCCUCUACCUCGGAACCCACUCGGGACAUAUUCCGCUACACUCGUAUUGUUUGCGGAAGCGGCGAAGCAGUAAUGUUGCACAAAUGGACUGUACUCCCUGGGACUGAGUGAGUGAGUAGGUUUACGCCGCUUCUAGCAAUUAUCCGACAUCACGACGGUGCUCCUCAAACAUAAGCUACACACAAUAUUACCAUGGAAGGAAUCGAACCUCUGUGACAAAAGAACACUUUAUACCCACAAGGCUGCCUGAGACUCAUUACGAUAUUACAUUACUUGUAAAACUUUGACAGAACGUCCUUUGUGGAAAAUAUAUGAACAUUAAA
This 1611-nucleotide unclassified non-coding RNA is filed under the name Haliotis rubra (blacklip abalone). RNAcentral describes it as "uncharacterized LOC124278755, transcript variant X1". Lineage: Eukaryota; Metazoa; Mollusca; Gastropoda; Lepetellida; Haliotidae. The record is from RNAcentral.